Non-coding RNA from Corchorus olitorius, 77 nucleotides. NCBI's taxonomy places the organism in Eukaryota, Viridiplantae, Streptophyta, Magnoliopsida, Malvales, Malvaceae. The record is from Rfam.
UUGAGGAUGAUGAAAUCAAUCAGACGGAUUCCCAUUGAUUUUUCAUAUGAGAACAUAACCAGCUACUUCUGACUCUU